GGGGCAGUAGCUCAGCUGGGAGAGCAUUACGCUGGCAGUGUAAGGGUCGUGGGUUCAAGUCCCAUCUGCUCCA
Non-coding RNA from Spirochaetes bacterium GWB1_36_13, 73 nucleotides. The record is from Rfam. Lineage: Bacteria; Pseudomonadati; Spirochaetota.